AUGAGAGAAAAUGGCAUUAAGUUGUACCAGGGAAGGGUUAGAUUGGAUAUUAGGAAAAAUUUCUUCACUGAAAGGGUUGUCAACCAUUGGAACAGGCUGCCCAGGGAAGUGUUAGAGUGACCAUCCCAGGACGUAUUUAAAAGAUGCGUAGAUGCGGCACUUAGGGAUAUAUGAUUUAGUGGUGGACUUGGCAGUGGGUUGACAGUUUGACUUGUUCAUUUUAAAGGUCUCUUCCUAUCUAAAUAAUUCUGUGAUUCUGUGUCUACUGUGUUUUGUGAUAGCUGCCACUGCAUAUGUACUGCUAGCCUAUAGGAAGCCUAUGGUAAAACGUGUUGUCAUGAACUCCCAGGAAAAAGGUUUAAUCUAAAUCGUCCUGUUCCUUUUGAUAAGCUGAAAGCAGCCACAUACUGUGUUCUUGCAGCACCCUGUAAAGUGUCAUAAUUCAGCCAUACAUCAGGAUCCUGGGGUGGAGCUGCCCUGAAAAAGUAAUUAAAACCUAAAUCUGCAAUGUUUCUUCUUCGGUGGCACUACCAUUUGUUUUCAACACAGUGGAUUAAAUGAGGAAGGUUUCGGUUAGGUGGAGUUAUCCCGUUAUCAAUUUUGAAAGUAUUUUGGGACCUGUGACCUGAGUUCUUGCUGCUGGUCAUCCCUGCAUUUACUGAAGUGCAAAGUCUAGCUUUGUAAAUGGCAUUUGUUUGACUGGGCAGUCAGCCCUGGCUUAAUCCCCAACACUGACUGUCCAAGGAAGGCUUGGACUGAAUUUACUUUAAGGAAUGAAUACAUGCAAUGAUAUACUUGCACUCUGUCCUUUUCCCUCAUUCAUACUAAGUAGGAAACUGGACAGUGUGUACACCAGCUCCUGCCUGGCUGUCCCAAACGAAAGGAACAGCAUUGGGAAUGCUGAGUCAUGUCAGAUCUCACCCUGGUGGGACUUAGUUUGUGUGUAAUGUUGCUGGAAUGGUUUCCCCAUUUACAAUCAAAUUUAAAAUACAUCUAACUUGACUGUUACUAUCCCUCUUACCCCAUAUAUUUAUUUGUAUGUGUUUGUUUAUGGAAAGCUGUUUACAUUGUGCUUAGUAUUAUCUCUGAUACCUUGUGAUCAACUCUCACCUACAGGUCAAUUGAUAAAAAUCUGUGAUCCAGAGGUCUGGGUCAGACAUGCCUUUUUGUGGUACGUCAUUUUCUCCUUGUUCUGUGACCUAGAGAUCAUACUAAAAAGGCCAUGAUUUAGAAGAACUAAAAUUGGAUGCUUCUUGACCCAUUUGAAAAUGUGACUAGGAAAAGGACUGACUGCAUUUCAACUAAAGAUAUGAUCAUAGUAGGCUUGGGGGAACACCUACCCCCUCCUUUCCAACAGGAAGGAUUUAACAGUCAGGAUUUCUUGCUCUCAAGAGCAUUUUCAUAGACUCUGGAAGACAGGAAAAUAUAUAGGCUUUACAUCACGGGCAGAAGAUCAGUAAAACAAUUGCUUUAUUUCAGUCUUGGCAGGCAGUGGGACACUGAGCAACCUUUUUGGAUAAACCCAGCAAGCUGUACUUGCAGCCUGAUAGAUUCAGUGGCCGCACAGAGCUCUCUAGAGCAAAACCAACUACUUAAAUUCAGUCUGCUACUGAAUAAGUAACCCAUGCAGACUCAAAGCACAAACCUUUGGUGCUUCUGAAAACUAAGUUCCUGUAAUUAAGGAACUGCUCAACUCUGCAAUAGUUUCAGUGCCUGGAUAUGUUUGAAAUGCAAUGUGACAUGAAGGAAGGGGAAGAACAGUUUUUGAUAUUAUACUUUCAUUUGUGCUCCUAAGCCUAACCAUUAAUUUAGCACCAGGUUUAAUUUCAUUCCAGGUUUUCAUUUGCUCAGUUACCUGGGGUAAAUGUGAAGUGGAUUUAAGCGGCAUUUAAGCGGCAUUGUUUCAGACUUGUGCUGAAUUAAAUCAGGAUGUGAAAUCAGGAUGUGGCCUAAACUGUAGCAAGUACAACAUAUUUUUCCACAGUUCUCUUUUCAGUGCUUAUUUCAGUUUAUGCUGACAAAUAUUUCAUGCUUUA
Molecule: long non-coding RNA, 2036 nt
Organism: Neopsephotus bourkii (Bourke's parrot)
Lineage: Eukaryota; Metazoa; Chordata; Aves; Psittaciformes; Psittacidae
Exons: 2
Source: RefSeq, a predicted model, not a curated record